UUUGACCUACGGGAGGCAGCAGUGGGGAAUAUUGCACAAUGGGGGAAACCCUGAUGCAGCGACGCCGCGUGAGUGAGGAAGUAUUUCGGUAUGUAAAGCUCUAUCAGCAGGGAAGAAAAUGACGGUACCUGACUAAGAAGCCCCGGCUAACUACGUGCCAGCAGCCGCGGUAAUACGUAGGGGGCAAGCGUUAUCCGGAUUUACUGGGUGUAAAGGGAGCGUAGACGGAGGAGCAAGUCAGAUGUGAAAGCCCGGGGCCCAACCCCGGUACUGCAUUUGAAACUGUCCGGCUGGAGUGCAGGAGG
This 305-nucleotide ribosomal RNA is filed under the name uncultured bacterium. RNAcentral describes it as "bacterial SSU rRNA". It matches the Rfam family "Bacterial small subunit ribosomal RNA", at positions 331 to 655 of the family's 1533-position model. The record is from RNAcentral.